Molecule: long non-coding RNA, 415 nt
Organism: Rhododendron vialii
Lineage: Eukaryota; Viridiplantae; Streptophyta; Magnoliopsida; Ericales; Ericaceae
Exons: 2
Source: RefSeq, a predicted model, not a curated record
AUUGAGAUGCCGUAACAGCACUAGAGAAAGACAAGCUACUUUAAGCAAUGAGCAACGUUAACAACAAUUGGCACGACGAUGAUCAAACUACAACCAACGACACCACCCAGGAGGUUACACGUUGAACUUUCUCAAUAAUGUCCCAAGACGAGUUCGAUCAUCAAGGCAUCGCCCUCCAUUAGGUAUCUUAGGGUAUUUUCAUGUUCCAAUUUGUCAUGUUUCCAUGUCUUAACCAUACUAGAGGCCGGGGCACACGCAUCGCGUGUGCAAGUCGGAUUUUCAUAACAUUUGUGAAAAUUUGAUCAAACAAUAAGUGGGAAGCAUUUUUACAAAAACGGUAUGAAUAUUCGACUUGCACAAGCAUCGCGUGUGCCCCAGCCUUUUGUCUAUAUAAUAUAAGAGGGUGGUUUAUAUU